GACGAACGCUGGCGGCGUGCUUAACACAUGCAAGUCGAACGGAAAGACCCUGCUUUUGUUGGUUUCUCGAGUGGCGAACGGGUGAGUAACACGUGAGUAACCUGCCCUUGACUUUGGGAUAACUUCAGGAAACUGGGGCUAAUACCGGAUAGGAGCUCCUGCUGCAUGGGGGUGGUUGGAAAGUUACGGCGGUGGUGGAUGGACUCGCGGGUUACCCGCUUGUUGGUGAGGUAGUGGCUUACCAAGGCUUUGACGGGUAGCCGGCCUGAGAGGGUGGCCAGCGACCAUGGUACUGAGGUACGGCCCAGAAGCCUACGGGAGGCAGUGGGGGGGAAUAUUGCACAAUGGGCGGAAGUCUGAUGCAGCAACGCCGGGUGCGGGAUGAUGUCCUUUGGGUGGUAAACCGCUUUGGCAGGAGACGAAGCGUGAGUGACGGUAAUGGGUAAAGAAGCACCGGCUAACUACGUG
RNAcentral lists this ribosomal RNA (468 nucleotides) under uncultured bacterium. Its description in RNAcentral is "partial 16S ribosomal RNA". It matches the Rfam family "Bacterial small subunit ribosomal RNA", at positions 28 to 507 of the family's 1533-position model. The record is from RNAcentral.